UUGUUUUUCUGAAAUUGAAAGUAGUGGGUAGGUUAUGGUUAUCAAUGUUUCCAUACCCGCCAUAACCGAACCGACCCGACAUGUAGUAAAUCUUUGUCGGAUUUUCACCAUUUUUUCAAUAUUUGAUGUAUUUGGUUGAACGCUUGUUAAUCUAUGGGUUAAAUCGUAUCGUUUUGGUUGAUAUUUAUUUAGAUUUAUGGAUUAUAUAAUCGUUUUGUUUGAAUAUUUGAUAAUAAUCAAUAUUAGUAUUAUAGAUUAAAUGUAUUUCAAAUACUAUGUAGUAAACUAAUAUACAGAAAUGUGUUACAACAAUUUAUUUCAUGGUCAAAAGAAUUUUGAGCUAUUUUUAGCUAGGCCUAAAUUCACAGUUAACCGACCAUAACCGACCCGCUAUAACCUUCAAAACCGCCAUAACCAAUUGGUUAUGGUUAUCCAUUAACUGACAUCGCAGUUAUAGUUAUGGUUUUGAUGCAAAACCGACCCAAACCGACCCAUGUACACUCCUACUGAGCAUUUUAAACAAAAAUUGAAUCUCUGCAUUCUCUAUGUCAACAGUUAACUAAUCCAACUAUUUUAAUAAAUGGUUGUAGUUUUAUCGCAAGGAUUAUUAAGUGAUACCUGAAGGUAACAAUGAUCACUGCAAGGUUUCACCGUCUCUUGAGAAUCAAGAGGAUGAAGUAAACUUCAGGAUGAAAUUGCAAUGGUUCUAAGAGUACAAAACCUUACAGGAGUAAUAACGGUUUGAGAGUAACCAUGAAGACGGCAAUCAAAUACCUGUUAAAACAAUAUAAAAAAUAACCUUAAACAUGACAAUUCUAAUGAACAGUAACAAAAUGUGAAACAAGUAAACAGAUGUACCAAACACCGCCGACAAAAAAGAUUAUCAAGGGAAUCUAAUGAAGCACUAAGACUUUUGUCCAGAGGUAUGCUCCAAUCAUGAUGAUGGUCUGCAGAAGCAGACACAUUUUGGUUUAUGUUUUCUUCAUCUUCUGUUUUCAACAUGAUAUAUGCCUCCUGCGUCACAUAAACAACAACAAAAACUUCAAGUAUAUAGAAAAAAACUAGUAAAAAGCAAGACUUGAUAUGAAAAACACAAUUCUUAAUGAUAAAAUAAGAGCAACUGAGGUACAUAGAUUUCUGAAGUAUUCCCCCCAACAUAUUGUGUCAAGAUUUUAAUUACUUCGUCACUUGGCUCAUAAUCCCGAGAAACCAUCCUGCAAGAUUCAAUAGAUGAUGAAAUCUUUUCAGCACAAAUUUUUAUUUCUGCUCAAUGUAGCGUGAAUAACAACAGAUAUUCAAAUUAAUUUGCAUUUUUAACGGAUGAACUGCAUAGGGCUGCAAACAAACCGAAUUUUCAGCGAUCAGCUCAUGAACCGUUCGGCGGGAAGUUCGUUCGUGUCCGUUCAUUUAAUAAAUCAAUGAACAUUAACAGAGUUCACGUUUGUUCAUUUAUGUUCGAGAACGUUCGAUAACGUGUUCGUUUGUGUUCGAUAGUUCCUUAAGGUUUUAACUUUUAUAUUUAUUUUUCGAUAUUCUUUUUAUUUUAUUUAUUUUAUUACCCAAACAAAUAAACAAUUAACUUUAUUUGAGAUAAUUGAGACAAAUAAACCCUAUUCCAGUGUUCAUGAACGCCCGUUUGUGUUCAUGGACGUUCGUUUGUGUUUGUGGCCGUGCAUGUUCAUGAACGGUUUUUUUCGUUCGUUUGUGUUCGGUGCCUAAAAUUAACAAACACGAACAUGUUCAUUUCCUUAAUGAACGAACACGAACAGAAAAUCUCAAUCGGUAAGUGUUCAUGAACACAUGUAUUCAAUUCGUUUGCAGCCCUACAUGAACAACAUCCAAGAGUAAUGUAUAAUCUUAACUAACCGUAUGAUGCGUUUUUCUGUCUCGGAAAAUUCAUGUUUCUCUUCCUCUGGUUCAGUAAGCUCUUCCUCACUGUCACUACAAAUCAGAGCUUCACUUCCAUUUUGAUCAUAAUAUAUACGUCGCCUCCCAACAAUUGAUUGAUCAUCAGCCAUUCUCUGGUUUCUGUCAUCCAUACAAAGAAAUCACAUAUUUAUACUUUUGGUACUUAAAACUAGUUACAUAAUAUAUAUAUAAAACGGAAGUACAGAUGG
This 2117-nucleotide long non-coding RNA is filed under the name Helianthus annuus (common sunflower). RNAcentral describes it as "hypothetical non coding rna". Lineage: Eukaryota; Viridiplantae; Streptophyta; Magnoliopsida; Asterales; Asteraceae. The record is from RNAcentral.